UUAGCUGUAAACGAUGUGAACUUAGUGUCGGUGGGGUUAAAUCCAUCGGUACUGUAGCUAACGCGAUAAGUUCACCGCCUGGGGACUACGGCCGCAAGGCUAAAACUCAAAGGAAUUGACGGGGCCCCGCACAAGCAGCGGAGCGUGUGGUUUAAUUCGAUGCUACACGAAGAACCUUACCAGGGUUUGACAUGCAAGUGGUAGGAAACCGAAAGGUGACCGACUCUUCGGAGAGCUUGCACAGGUGC
This 248-nucleotide ribosomal RNA is filed under the name uncultured Anaerolineaceae bacterium. RNAcentral describes it as "partial 16S ribosomal RNA". It matches the Rfam family "Bacterial small subunit ribosomal RNA", at positions 796 to 1041 of the family's 1533-position model. The record is from RNAcentral. Lineage: Bacteria; Bacillati; Chloroflexota; Anaerolineae; Anaerolineales; Anaerolineaceae.